CUGUGGAUGGCCACACACGGCCACUCAGAGCAGAGCCUUCAGCUUGAUGUUCACAGCACUGCUAUGAGGCUGUGUUACCAUGCCCAGAGAGCUGGCCCUCGGGAGUAUUUUUAGCUUUACUGGAGUUUCACCUAAUCCUCAUUGAAUGGCUUUAUAAUCAGUGGAAAUUGCCAGUCAUUCUUUGUGGCAGGCAUUUAUUUUCUCCUUCCAUUUUGCAUUUUCUCAGCACAGAACAUCAGCAAGGUAGGAUGUUGAUGCUGAAAGAUUACUCAAAAUGGCCAUAGAUAACAUUAGUCUCCUAAUCUCUAUGUUCUAACUGUGGGACUAAAAAGAAAGUUUAAAAUGAGUAGCAAACCAUAUCUCAUUGAAAACUAGUGGGUUGUUGUUGUAUUUUUUUUGUUUUUAAAUUAGGUAAAAGUCUUUCAUACUGAUUUAAUUUAAUGGAUGAAUUUAUUUUCUCCCUUUAUUUCUGAGCAUAAUCUCUCUGAAUCUGA
Molecule: long non-coding RNA, 494 nt
Filed under: Bos taurus (domestic cattle)
Lineage: Eukaryota; Metazoa; Chordata; Mammalia; Artiodactyla; Bovidae
Description: long non-coding RNA NONBTAT020178
Source: RNAcentral